GACAGAGGGUGCAAACGUUGCUCGGAAUUACUGGGCGUAAAGCGCGUGUAGGCGGAUCGGAAAGUCGGGCGUGAAAUCCCCAGGCUCAACCUGGGAACUGCACCCGAAACUCCCGGUCUUGAGUGGUGGAAAGGGAAGUGGAAUUCCUGGUGUAGAGGUGAAAUUCGUAGAUAUCAGGAGGAACACCAGUGGCGAAGGCGGCUUCCUGGACACCAACUGACGCUGAGACGCGAAAGCGUGGGGAGCAAACAGG
RNAcentral lists this ribosomal RNA (253 nucleotides) under uncultured bacterium. RNAcentral describes it as "partial 16S ribosomal RNA". It matches the Rfam family "Bacterial small subunit ribosomal RNA", at positions 524 to 776 of the family's 1533-position model. The record is from RNAcentral.